RNAcentral lists this transfer RNA (84 nucleotides) under Felis catus (domestic cat). It matches the Rfam family "tRNA". Rfam says of the family: Transfer RNA (tRNA) molecules are approximately 80 nucleotides in length. The record is from Rfam by way of RNAcentral. Lineage: Eukaryota; Metazoa; Chordata; Mammalia; Carnivora; Felidae.
GCCUGGAUGGCUUAAUAGGUUAAGCAUCUGACUUCUGCUCAGGUCAGAUCUCGCAGUCCAUGAGUUCGAGCCCUAUAUCAGGCU